RNAcentral lists this ribosomal RNA (689 nucleotides) under Sordariomycetes sp. RNAcentral describes it as "eukaryotic LSU rRNA". The stretch from base 122 to 689 matches the Rfam family "Eukaryotic large subunit ribosomal RNA", at positions 1 to 579 of the family's 3401-position model. Lineage: Eukaryota; Fungi; Ascomycota; Sordariomycetes. The record is from RNAcentral.
ACGGAGACGUAAUUCCUCAAAUAUAGUGGCGGAGCUAGGUCGUGCUCUAAGCGUAGUAACCAAAUUCUCGCUUCUGAAGCCGGCCCGGGUCCUGCCGUAAAACCCCCUAUAUUUUUCUGGUUGACCUCGGAUCAGGUAGGAAUACCCGCUGAACUUAAGCAUAUCAAUAAGCGGAGGAAAAGAAACCAACAGGGAUUGCCCUAGUAACGGCGAGUGAAGCGGCAACAGCUCAAAUUUGAAAUCUGGCCUUCGGGUCCGAGUUGUAAUUUGCAGAGGAUGCUUUUGGCGCGGUGCCUUCCGAGUUCCCUGGAACGGGACGCCUUAGAGGGUGAGAGCCCCGUACGGUUGGACACCAAGCCUCUGUAAAGCUCCUUCGACGAGUCGAGUAGUUUGGGAAUGCUGCUCUAAAUGGGAGGUAAAUUUCUUCUAAAGCUAAAUACCGGCCAGAGACCGAUAGCGCACAAGUAGAGUGAUCGAAAGAUGAAAAGCACUUUGAAAAGAGGGUUAAAUAGCACGUGAAAUUGUUGAAAGGGAAGCGUUUACGGCCAGACCUUUUCCUGGCGGAUCAUCUGGUGUUCUCACCAGUGCACUUCGCCAGGUUUAGGCCAGCAUCGGCUUCUGUAGGGGGAUAAAAGCAGUGGGAAAGUAGCUCCCUCGGGAGUGUUAUAGCCCUAAGCAUAAUACCCUUA